This is a long non-coding RNA of Carya illinoinensis, 2325 nucleotides long. RefSeq lists it as uncharacterized. The transcript has 2 exons. Lineage: Eukaryota; Viridiplantae; Streptophyta; Magnoliopsida; Fagales; Juglandaceae. The record is from RefSeq and is a predicted model, not a curated record.
UUCAAGGCCUACACCAUGGGCCACUGGUAUUAAAGCAACCAGCAAGUGGACACACCCAGUCAGGGCAAGGGGCCAGAGCUCCUGUUAGAUGUGGUGCACUCUGAAUGGUGUAUUCUUGUCUGACCACGAACAAAAUCCAUCAAAACCCAUACCCAAAAGUUCGAAUUAAAAUUUAAAACACCAAAAAUCCCUUUUAUCAAUUUCCUAUAUAUAAUACCUCUUGCCACUGCCAGCCUGUUCAUAAGUCCCCCUUCCCCAUCUCUCUCUCUCUCUCUCUCUCUCGCUGUUUAUCUGCCCUCUUGUCCCUGCAACCUCACGUUUCGUCGGCCGGAGAGCUCUAAUGGCCACCAUUUCCGCUACUUCUUCUGCUACCUUCGGGGCUUCCCUGAAGUUAUGCUUCCAGAAUAGUGAGCAAGGGUAGUACUAUUUCAAAUGAUUUGCACGGCUCUUCAAAGUUCGGCCCCUACCCCCGAACACUACAACUUGUUGCACGACAGUCCUCUCCAGACACUAGGCCAAGUUCUCCUACUCCUUUUGAAGCCCAACGCUCUCCUCAUGUUCCCAGCCCAGACCAUUUAUCACCUGCUGCCCCAUCGCCAGUGCAACCUACCUCACUGCCCACAGACAACAGAGGUCCGGUUUGGACUCAUCCAAUGGUCACACAAACAUAGGAUGUGACACACAGGUCAAAAGUGUUCUUCUCUACUUGGCACCCCAAUUCCAACAUGUUUUAUAGCAGACCUUCAAGCCCAGCCAUCUGAGUCUGCACCAUACAAACAAGCUCUUAAAGAUCCCACAUGGCAGCAGGCCAUGCAAGAUGAAAUCCAUGUGCUCCAUGCCAACCACACAUAGACUUUGGUCCCAAAGACAUCAGAUGUGAACCUUGUCAGUAGCAAAUGGGUCUUCAAAAGUAAGACCCGAGUGAACGGCUCUGUAGAACGCCAUAAGCCUAUAAAGCCCAUCUUGUCGCACAAGGCUUUACUCAACUUCAUGGUCUUGACUAUGAUGAAGCAUUCAGCCCAGUUGUCAAGCUAGUUACUAUUUGUCUUAUUCUCACUUUGGCACUCUCUCAAGGAUGGAUUUUAAAACAACUUGAUGUCAGUGAUGCCUUAUUGCAUGGAGAUUUACAAGAACGUGUCUACUUAACUCAACCUCCUGGUUUUGAAGACUCAACUCGGCCUAAUUACGUUUGUCAAUUGCACAAAGCUCUUUAUAGGUUGAAACAAGCCCCUCAAGCCCGGUACAUGAAAUUUAGUACUUACAUCCAGCAGCUUGGUUUUCAUUGCUGUCCAUAUGACACCUCUCUAUUUUUUCGUCGUCAAGGAAAUGAGGUUCUUAUGCUUCUCAUCUACCUUGAUGUCAUUAUUCUCAUUGGCAGCUCUACAGAUCAAAUUCAAAAGUUUCUUGCUCAUUUAUUCUCAGUUUUUCAUAUGAAGGAUCUUGGAGAUCUCCAUUACUUCUUGGGUAUUCAAGUUGCAUGAGAUGCCAACACUCUCACCUUGACACCCUUCCACCUUGUUUGUCAAUUCAGUUCACUUUGUUUGUCAAUUCAUGCAAAGUCCACGGGAGCCUCAUCUUAUCAUUGUCAAAAGAAUUUUUCGGUAUCUUAAGGGCACUCUCAAUUUUGGUAUGCACCUCCACAAACACUCUCUUAGAGCUCUUCUCGGUUUUUGUAAUGCCGACUGGGCUGGCUCUCUGGACGAUUGCCGCUCUACAACCGGUUUUUCCAUUUAUAUGGGUGAUACCUUACUUUCAUGGGGUGCAAAGAAACAAGCAACUGUCUCAUGGUCCCCACUGAAGCCAAAUAUCGGGCCUUGGCAGCAACUACAAUUGAGCUCAUGUGGUUUAUGAACCUGAUACACAACCUUGGAUAUACUCUUCUUGCUCCAACACUAUGCUAUGAUAAUAUAAGUGCACUUAACAUGGCAAAGAGCCCAGUGUUUCAUCAUCGAACCAAACACAUAGAAAUUGAUCCUCAUUUAGUUCGUGAAAAAGUAGCGCAUGGUACCAUCUCCCUUGCUCAUAUUCUUGGAAACGACCAAGUGGCAAAUGUGUUCACCAAAUCUUUAUGCGGUCCGAGGUUCCUACCCUGCCAGCGCAAGCUCCAUGUCGGUCCUAUCCUACCUUGAGCUUAAGGGGGGAAUAAAGAGAGACAUGUUGACAACACUGCAAUUUCCUCCAUGAUUUUAGCAUUCUCUGUAAAUGUAUCCGUUAGUCAUAGGAUCUUUUAUUUCCUUGUACAGCAGUCAUACAACUGUAACUUGCUCUCUGUAAUUCUAAUUUAAACCAAUAAACAUGUCAUGCUUAAAGCAGGCUAUUUUCCCU